This 368-nucleotide unclassified non-coding RNA is filed under the name fungal sp. RNAcentral's name for it is "partial internal transcribed spacer region". The stretch from base 1 to 46 matches the Rfam family "Eukaryotic small subunit ribosomal RNA", at positions 1786 to 1831 of the family's 1831-position model. The record is from RNAcentral. Lineage: Eukaryota; Fungi.
AAGUCGUAACAAGGUUUCCGUAGGUGAACCUGCGGAAGGAUCAUUAACACGUAUCCAACGUUAAACCCCCCGUGAACCUUCAGUGCGCUCGCACUUUCUUAGAAAAGGUAGCAAUCCCUGGUAAAUCAUUGCCGAACAGUUUUGAUUCAGGGACUUCUGCGUAGACUGUGCUUGAGCGUGAGGCAAGUGGCCUGGCAUUCCUCUGCUUGUUGGUGUCUGAAAGUGUCACCAGCUCUGUACGAAUGGCGCAGUCACGAUCGCUAGAGGCCGACACGGCGACCGCGUCACCAUUGCAUGAAAACGGGCCUGCGCUUAAUUGUGCGGCCACCAAACUCGAACAACUGUUAACAAUGGAUAUCUUGGUUCUC